UCAAUAAGCGGAGGAAAAGAAACUAACAAGGAUUCCCCUAGUAACGGCGAGUGAAGUGGGAUGAGCUCAAAUUUGUAAUCUGGCGGUCUCUGGCCGUCCGAGUUGUAGUCUGGAGAAGCGUGUUCGGUGCCAGACCGCGUUCAAGUCCCUUGGAACAGGGCGUCGUAGAGGGUGAGAAUCCCGUCUGUGACGCGGACUACUGGUGCUCUGUGAUGCGCUCUCGAAGAGUCGAGUUGUUUGGGAAUGCAGCUCAAAAGGGGUGGUAAAUUCCAUCUAAAGCUAAAUACGGGCGAAAGACCGAUAGCGAACAAGUACCGUGAGGGAAAGAUGAAAAGGACUUUGGAAAGAGAGUUAAAGAGUACGUGAAAUUGUUGAAAGGGAAACGCUUCAAGUCAGUUGCGUCUUCCGUAGGAGAUUCAGCCGGGGGUUUACGGACACCCGGUCUACUUCUCUCGGUGUGACCUGCCAGCAUGGAUUUCUACCGUCGGAGAAAGGCUUUGGGAAUGUGGCACCUUUCGGGGUGUGUUAUAGCCCUCUGUUCUUAUACGACGGUGGGGAUCGAGGACCGCAGCGUGCCCCUUCAAUGGGGGCCGGGGUACGCCCACGUAACGCGCUUAGGAUGCCUGGCAUAAUGGCUU
This 638-nucleotide ribosomal RNA is filed under the name Statesia cazaresii. RNAcentral describes it as "eukaryotic LSU rRNA". It matches the Rfam family "Eukaryotic large subunit ribosomal RNA", at positions 43 to 640 of the family's 3401-position model. The record is from RNAcentral. Lineage: Eukaryota; Fungi; Basidiomycota; Agaricomycetes; Hysterangiales; Hysterangiaceae.